Non-coding RNA from Rattus norvegicus (Norway rat), 4822 nucleotides. Lineage: Eukaryota; Metazoa; Chordata; Mammalia; Rodentia; Muridae. The record is from RefSeq and is a predicted model, not a curated record.
AAUUUAACGUUUUCUGUUUGUUUGUUGCAAUUUAACAGUUUUUUAUUUGUUUGUUGCAAUUUAACAGUUAUUUAUUUAUUUUUGUUGCAGAUUUUCUUUUCUAAUACUAGGGCUUGAAGCUAGCGCCUUUCACACACUAAGCACGCUCCGUUGAAUUUUCACACACAUUAGGAAAGGGGAUAUGGCUGCAUCCUCCCGUAGUCUGUUUAUUAACAAUUUUUACCUUGAGUUUUUGCCAAUUUUUAUAAUAUUAUUUAUUUUUAUUCUUUGUGCAUUGGUGUUUUGCCUGCAUGUAUGCUUGUGUGACAGUGUCAGAUCAUGGAGUUACAGACAGUGAGCUGCCCUGUGAGUACUGUGAAUUGAACUCCAGUCCUCUGGAGGAGCAGUCAGUGCUCUAAACCUCUGAGCCAUUUCCUCAGCCCUGUUGUUUUGUCUUUUGAGAUAGGGUUUCCCCUGUGUAGCCAUGGAUGUCCUGGAACUCAUUCUGUAGACCAAGCUGGCCUCAAACUUAGAGAUCUGCCUGCUUCAGCCUCCCAAGUGCUGUGAUUAAAGGCAAGUGCCACCACUGCCCUGCUAGUUUUGCCAAAUUUUUAUUAGAAGAUUUAAAUUUAUACGAUGAGAACUAAUGAAAGCCUAAAGGGACCUCAAGAUCAAAAUCAAGUGAAAUUCAAUGGAAAUAAUCAAGAGCAUAGAAACAUGUAGAAACAGUGCAUGGGGUAUUUCCAGUAUUAAGAAGGGGAGGAAACAACAUCUGGAAACACACAGAACGUAAAUGGGAAUUUAAAAUCUCCCAUAAAUGCCCAGGUUACUUUUAAAUUUUGAGACAGUUUGACUAAACUGCCCAGGCUGGCCUUGAACUCAUUUUGUAGCCCCAGUUUUGAACUUGGUAUCCUCCUGCCUUGGCCAUAUAGCUGGGUCACAAGCUUGGUUCCCAGUUGACUUUCUGGUGCAUUUCUUUGGGCCUUGCAGAACCUUGGUCUUCUGACUUGACUUUCUUCCAUUGAUUGAUUGAUUGAUUGAUUGAUUGGAUUAGAUUGUUGAUGCAGACAAGCAUUAAAGAUCCUCCACAUGGGCACCAAAAUGCAGACCUUUUGAACGCAAUCAUAAAAACUCAGAGUCACUGAUUAUGUCACAUUAAGGAAGGAACAAAAUCAAAGCACUUCUCUUUGGUUUCAUUUAACCAACAGCAAGUCUAGAUUUGAAUUCUCCUCCUCAUGCUUGUACGUCUUUUGUCCUCUGUUUCUCUGUUGUUGAGGCUGAAUCUGUUUUCUGCCUGAAGGCUGUCCUGUGAACGUGGCCCUGUGUGUUUGGCCCUAACAAUGGGGUUUGAUCUGUAUUUAUUGAACAGCAGAGGAGGGUAUCCCAUGGGGAAGGAAGGGGGAGGAACUCAGUAGAAAUCUUUAGCAGCUUUUACAAGAGAUUAAGUCGCCAGCACCAACUGGCUCUGAUAACAAACAGCAAACAAACAAUAUCAGAAUGCUGUGUUCAACAUUUCCAGUGAAUGCUCAUUUAAUAGGACUGCUUUAAAUCUCUCUUUCUUCAUGUUUUCAGCAAAUGAUUACUAGAGCACACAUACAUGACACUGGGUCACGGCACCAAGGAGCACAUAACAGAAGCUGACAGCCAUGGCUUGGUUUAGAUUGUGAAAGCUGGUUACAUGGGAAACCUAAGACAAGUAAAGUCCAUUGUUACAUUGUUGCCUUAAAGGCAGGUUAAACAAAGGGACUGAUUACACCUUAGUCUUGAAUGACCUCAGUGUCUAUAUUAACUUCAGUUGAGAAGCCCAGCAAAGCUUCCAGUCUGUUAGAAUAUAAGGUAAUUUUAUCACAACACAUUUCCACACUCCAAUCUCUUGCCUAUGUGCAAUUGGAUUCUAAUGUUUCCAUCAACUGUUUUAAAUCUAUGUGUAGUAAGAAGUAACCCUUGGAAUGUUCCUGCCAGCCCGUUCUUCAGUUCAGUGCUUAGUCUCGUUUUGUGUUUUGUUAUUGUGGGUGUUCUGCAUGUGAGGCGAGGCUGCACCACUGAGCUGUGUCUCCUCUGGCAAUGCUUGCUUUUAGAUUUUGAGACAGUUUGACAAAACUGCUCAGGCUGGCUUUGAAAUCACUUUGUAGCCUCUGUUUUGAACUUGGGAUCUUCCUGCCUUGGCCCGUAUAGCUAGGUCACAAGUCUGGAGUAUUUUCUCUUACACAGAUGUUUCUGAUUUACAUUGGCCAAACCUGAAUUUUGUAUCUUCAGAUGAGCGCUGUGCACGUGUAGAAACCAGUUAGGUGGGGUUGGGGAUUUAGCUCAGUGGUAGAGCGCUUGCCUAGGAAUCGCAAGGCCCUGGGUUCGGUCCCCAGCUCCGAAAAAAAAGAACCAAAAAAAAAAAAAAAAAAAGAAACCAGUUAGGUUAAAUGACAACAAACCCACCGCAAUAGGCCGUUUAGAAACGACACAGAAGAUAGCUACCCAUCUCCCUCCCUGGGUUUGACUGUUCCUGAGCACCUUUGGCAUCUUCUGGGCCAAACCCUGGGAUUUAUUACAGUGGUCAGACUUGUCAGGCAUCAAGACACACUGUUAUUACAGAUAAACAGGGCGUGUAUGCUGUAUGAAUGUUUGGUGCUCUCCUGAAGGGGCCAGAGUAAGGCUUCCACACCUGCUGCCUCUGCGCGGGGUCUCUAGCUAAAUUGGAGGCUUCCUGUUUAGACUGAGCUGGCUGGCCAGGGUCUGGAGCUUCGAUUGAGUCCCUCCUUCAAAGAUGGGGUUACAGGCACAUUGGAUGUGGAGACUAAACUCAGAAACUCAGAUCCUCACACUUGCAUAGAAAACGCUUUAUCCACUGAGCCACAUCUCUCCAGCCCCCAGAAACUGUUAGAAAGUAUAAUUACGUCUCCCACAUAACAAAGGCCAUACAACACCAAGAAAGUAUCGGCCGUUCAUGUGAACUCAGUAUUGACUUGGCACCCUGUGUUUUUAUUUUGGACAACCUGGCACUCCUGAUCCGGCUGUUUUAGUUGGUGCUGGGGAAGGUGGAAGUGAAGAUGUUUUUAGGUCUCAUACAGUGCAAAGCCGGUUUUGCAGAGAUUUCCCCAGCUCUAACAAUGUCUGCUAAAAGCCCUUCACUGGCCUAGUCGUCUUCCUGUAGCAGGGCACACACACGCCCCCACCCCAGACCCAUUCCUUUGGGGACCGGAAGAAUCCAGAAGCCUGAGGUUCUAAUGGGACCCUGGGUGAUGAUUCUGCUCCGGUAAAUGUACAGAGCGCCGGCCAAUCCCCUGUCCCGGCAGCCGGGAGCAACAUCUCAGGCCAAGGCGUUCACCCCCGCGGCCUCCGACCGGCGCAGCCCGCAGCCCUCGCGAGUCCUUCCCGGGCCGGGGCUCCGCGCGGCGGGGUGCAGGGACGCCUUCUUCCCUGCGCACUCAGCUCUGCACGCUGCGAUUCAGAAACUCUCCACACUACACUGGGAAGCAGAGUCUCCAGCUAUGCUGUCCCGUUGGGAACUGACUCUCUGCCUGCUUGUUUCCUUGGGCUUCCACUUCCGCUCUUUCUAUGAAGUUUACAAAGUCUCCAGGGAGCAUGAAGAGGAACUGGACCAGGAGUUUGAACUGGAGAUGGAUACUCUAUUUGGAGGACUGAAGAAGGACCCGACUGAUUUUGAGUGGAACUUCUGGCUGGAGUGGGGGAAGCAGAGGCUGGUGUGGCUCCUCCUUGGCCAUAUGGCUGUGUCUCAGUUGGCCACACUGCUCACAAAGAAGCAUAGACCCUGGAUUAUCAUGAUCUAUGGAAUGUGGGCCUGCUGGUGUGUGCUGGGGGCUCCGGGCGUGGUCAUGGUCCUUCUCCACACCACCAUCGCCUUCUGCGUGGCUCAGUUCCGAUCAAUGCUCCUCUCCUGGCUGUGUUCUCUGCUUCUACUCUCCACCCUAAGACUGCAAAGUGUGGAGGAAGUUAAGAGAAGGUGGUACAAGACAGAGAGCGAGUACUACCUGCUGCAGUUCACGCUCACAGUUCGCUGCCUGUACUACACCAGCUUCAGCCUGGAGCUGUGCCGGCAGCCUCCGUCCGCCCAGCGUGCCUGCUUUUCCUUCCCGUGGCUGCUGACCUAUGUCUUCUAUUAUCCUGUCUUCCACAACGGGCCCAUCCUUAACUUCCCGGAGUUCUUCAGACAGAUGCAGCAGCCAGAGCUCAGCUCUCUGCAGCACAGCCUCUGCAUUCUAGCCAAGGGCCUGGGCCGCCUGCUGUGCUGGUGGUGGCUGGCUGAAUUGAUGGUACACCUCAUGUACAUGCAUGCCCUCUACAGCAGCAUCCCCCUCCUGGAGAGUGUUUCCUGCUGGACCUUAGGAGGACUGGCGCUGGCUCAGGUGCUCUUCUUCUAUGUGAAGUACUUGGUGCUCUUCGGUGCCCCGGCUCUGCUCAUGCGCCUGGACGGACUCACACCACCACCCCUUCCCCGCUGCGUGAGCACCAUGUUCAGCUUCACAGGGAUGUGGAGGUAUUUUGAUGUUGGACUACACAAUUUCUUAAUCAGAUGAGGGACAAAGAGAAACUGAUCACAAAGAACUAAGGCCUGUGGGCUUUUAAAGCCACAGAGGACGGCAUGCUCUGGCACUUUGGACUCUCACAGCUUUGGGCAUUACUCACUCGGGGAAGUAUCUAAGGAUUCCACGCAGUGGGACAGAAGAUAAGAGACUGUGGUCCUGCACUCCUGUAUGUGUAUAUCCCACUGGGUGGGUCCCAGCAUGGCCUGCUGGGGACGCUGCUUUCUACCGCGAUGACGUUUGCGUUUGUGAGCUACUGGCACGGCAGCUAUGAGGACCUCUGGUGCUGGGCAGCGCUCAACUGGCUG